AAGGGAACUACGAAUGAGAUAUAAAAUUAUGAAAAGUAAAAGUAAACUUACUUGUACUUGAAUAAAUCAGGGAAAUCAUAUUUAGCAAGGGCUGUGUGUUUACUCUCCUAUGGGCUCACUUAAUGGCAGAGUCAGAAUUUUACCCAGGUCUGACUGGCCUUAUAGUCUAAACUCUAUACUCACAGGAAACUCCCAAAUGAAAGGAUUCAGGGAGAAGUUGGCAUAAUGCUCUAGAAUGUUGUUAAGUAGCAGAGGGACAUGGUCCUUGCUGGGCAAUAAAAAAGUAAGUUUGGCAGGCAGUAUGUUUUGGAUUAAUGGCAUAAAGCUGCCAAUGGGAGGAAGCCCUCGGUGGGGCAAGUAGAUGAGCCAGGGAGGGGUUCAUUCCACAGAAGGGGAAAGGACACAGUGGGGGAAAUUCUGGAACUUACCAAUCAGAUUUUUAGAAGAGAAGAAAAUAGGGACAAGAAAGACACAUGUUAAUUUUCAAGUCUGGGUGAAACUUUUUAGCAGAAAGAGUGAGGCAGGAAGCUACUGCUAGUGAGAAGGAAGAUACUGGGUUUAGUUUGAGGCAUGUCAGAUUUUAGAUACUGGCUGGGACUACAUUUGAAAAUGUCUCUAGGCAACUGAUUAUGCUGGAGGGUAGCUCCAUAGAGCUCUCAGUUCCAAAGGGUCCUUCUUAGAAGCAAGAAUUGGAAUUUGGGAGCUAUGUGCAGAGAUGAAGGGGACAGCUUAGGUGAACAAGACAGAUGGGAGAGAUCAAAGAACAUAGAAGAGCAUCCUUGGGGCAUGUCAAUAAAAAAGAAGAAGAAGAUGGAGACAGAGAGUGGGGAAGAGGCAGAAGAGUGGUAUCUUACAGCAAGAGAAGUCAUAGGACCCAGGGAAGAUGGUACCCAGGUUCACCUAAUUUGGGGAGCCAGAAAAUAGUUAUGACAUCAGAGAAGAAAAUUUCUGGAGAAAGGCAAGGAUGGAAGAUACGGACCAAAAGAUCACUAAGAAACGUGAAAGCUUUGGCCUUCACCACCUGUUUUAUGUAAGUGACUGCUGAGGCCUGAGGCCUGGCAAAGAUCCGCACAGCAGGGGGCCUCACUGUGGUUGCUUGCUAAGCAUUCCAGGAGCCAGGCCCCACUGUCAGAGGACAGGUAUGGUCUGCUCUUCCCCUCUCAAAUGCGCCCAGGCCUACCGUAC
This 1185-nucleotide long non-coding RNA is filed under the name Macaca mulatta (Rhesus monkey). Its description in RNAcentral is "lncRNA (ENSMMUG00000052191.1)". The record is from RNAcentral. Lineage: Eukaryota; Metazoa; Chordata; Mammalia; Primates; Cercopithecidae.